UGGCGGAUGGUGCAAUGGUAGCACAGAGGACUUUGGAUCCUUUAAUCUAGGUUCGAAUCCUAGUCCGCCAGCCA
This 74-nucleotide transfer RNA is filed under the name Chloroflexota bacterium. RNAcentral's name for it is "tRNA-Gln". It matches the Rfam family "tRNA". Rfam says of the family: Transfer RNA (tRNA) molecules are approximately 80 nucleotides in length. Their secondary structure includes four short double-helical elements and three loops (D, anti-codon, and T loops). Further hydrogen bonds mediate the characteristic L-shaped molecular structure. tRNAs have two regions of fundamental functional importance: the anti-codon, which is responsible for specific mRNA codon recognition, and the 3' end, to which the tRNAs corresponding amino acid is attached (by aminoacyl-tRNA synthetases). tRNAs cope with the degeneracy of the genetic code in two manners: having more than one tRNA (with a specific anti-codon) for a particular amino acid; and 'wobble' base-pairing, i.e. permitting non-standard base-pairing at the 3rd anti-codon position. RNAcentral also lists the same sequence under 3 other names. Lineage: Bacteria; Bacillati; Chloroflexota. The record is from RNAcentral.